UCGAACGCUGAAGCCACUUCGGUGGUGGAUGAGUGGCGAACGGGUGAGUAACACGUGGGUAAUCUGUCCUGCACUCUGGGAUAAGCCCUGGAAACGGGGUCUAAUACCGGAUACGACUUCGCACCGCAUGGUGUGGGGUGGAAAGUUCCGGCGGUGCAGGGUGAGCCCGCGGCCUAUCAGCUUGUUGGUGGGGUGAUGGCCUACCAAGGCGACGACGGGUAGCCGGCCUGAGAGGGUGACCGGCCACACUGGGACUGAGACACGGCCCAGACUCCUACGGGAGGCAGCAGUGGGGAAUAUUGCACAAUGGGCGCAAGCCUGAUGCAGCGACGCCGCGUGAGGGAUGACGGCCUUCGGGUUGUAAACCUCUUUCGCCAGGGACGAAGCGCAAGUGACGGUACCUGGAGAAGAAGCACCGGCUAACUACGUGCCAGCAGCCGCGGUAAUACGUAGGGUGCGAGCGUUGUCCGGAAUUAUUGGGCGUAAAGAGCUCGUAGGCGGUUUGUUGCGUCGGCCGUGAAAACUGGAGGCUUAACCUUCAGCUUGCGGUCGAUACGGGCAGACUUGAGUUCGGUAGGGGAGACUGGAAUUCCUGGUGUAGCGGUGAAAUGCGCAGAUAUCAGGAGGAACACCGGUGGCGAAGGCGGGUCUCUGGGCCGAUACUGACGCUGAGGAGCGAAAGCGUGGGGAGCGAACAGGAUUAGAUACCCUGGUAGUCCACGCUGUAAACGUUGGGCGCUA
RNAcentral lists this ribosomal RNA (741 nucleotides) under Amycolatopsis sp. R13-25. RNAcentral describes it as "bacterial SSU rRNA". It matches the Rfam family "Bacterial small subunit ribosomal RNA", at positions 62 to 818 of the family's 1533-position model. Lineage: Bacteria; Bacillati; Actinomycetota; Actinomycetes; Pseudonocardiales; Pseudonocardiaceae. The record is from RNAcentral.